UACGAAGGGGGCUAGCGUUGUUCGGAAUCACUGGGCGUAAAGCGCCCGCAGGCGGAUCGUUAAGUCAGGGGUGAAAUGCCAAGGCUCAACCUUGGAACUGCCUCUGAUACUGGCGAUCUUCGAGUCCGGGAGAGGUGAGUGGAACUCCGAGUGUAGAGGUGAAAUUCGUAGAUAUUCGGAAGAACACCAGUGGCGAAGGCGGCUCACUGGCCCGGUACUGACGCUCAGGUGCGAAAGCGUGGGGAGCAAACAGG
This 254-nucleotide ribosomal RNA is filed under the name uncultured bacterium. Its description in RNAcentral is "partial 16S ribosomal RNA". It matches the Rfam family "Bacterial small subunit ribosomal RNA", at positions 524 to 776 of the family's 1533-position model. The record is from RNAcentral.